CCGCCCCAGUUCGGAUUGGAGGCUGCAACCCGCCUCCAUGAAGUCGGAAUCGCUAGUAAUCGCGGAUCAGCUACGCCGCGGUGAAUAUGUUCCUGAGCCUUGUACACACCGCCCGUCAAGUCAUGGGAGCUGGCAGUGCCCGAAGUCGCCUCGAUUCAGGGGUGCCCACGGCAAGGCUGGUGACUGGGACUAAGUCGUAACAAGGUAGCCGUAGGGGAACCUGCGGCUGGAUCACCUCCUUU
Molecule: ribosomal RNA, 242 nt
Filed under: Phycisphaerae bacterium
Lineage: Bacteria; Pseudomonadati; Planctomycetota; Phycisphaerae
Description: partial 16S ribosomal RNA
Rfam family: Bacterial small subunit ribosomal RNA
Source: RNAcentral